UACGUAGGGUGCAAGCGUUAAUCGGAAUUACUGGGCGUAAAGCGUGCGCAGGCGGUUAUGUAAGACAGGUGUGAAAUCCCCGGGCUUAACCUGGGAACUGCAUUUGUGACUGCAUAGCUAGAGUACGGUAGAGGGGGAUGGAAUUCCGCGUGUAGCAGUGAAAUGCGUAGAUAUAUGGAAGAACACCAAUAACGGCGAAGGCAGUUAACUAUUCUGUUACUGACAUUGAGGCACGAAAGCGUGGGGAGCAAAACGG
Molecule: ribosomal RNA, 256 nt
Filed under: uncultured bacterium
Lineage: Bacteria
Description: partial 16S ribosomal RNA
Rfam family: Bacterial small subunit ribosomal RNA
Source: RNAcentral